Molecule: non-coding RNA, 106 nt
Organism: Acanthosepion pharaonis
Lineage: Eukaryota; Metazoa; Mollusca; Cephalopoda; Sepiida; Sepiidae
Source: the annotation of a GenBank genome assembly
ACGGUCGUAUAACGUUGAAACACCGGUUUCUAUACGACCAUCAAAGUUAAGCAACAUCGAGCCUGAUCUGUACCUAGAUGAGUGACCGCUUGCGUAUACCAGGUGU